UCCAGACUCCUACGGGAGGCAGCAGUGGGGAAUAUUGGGCAAUGGGCGCAAGCCUGACCCAGCAACGCCGCGUGAAGGAAGAAGGCUCUCGGGUUGUAAACUUCUUUUAUCAGGGACGAAGCAAGUGACGGUACCUGAUGAAUAAGCCACGGCUAACUACGUGCCAGCAGCCGCGGUAAUACGUAGGCGGCAAGCGUUAUCCGGAUUUACUGGGUGUAAAGGGCGUGUAGGCGGGAAAGCAAGUCAGAUGUGAAAACCAUGGGCUCAACCUGUGGCCUGCAUUUGAAACUGUUUUUCUUGAGUGCUGGAGAGGCAAUCGGAGUUCCGUGUGUAGCGGUGUAAUGCGUAGAUAUACGGAGGAACACCAGUGGCGAAGGCGGAUUGCUGGACAGUAACUGACGCUGAGGCGCGAAAGCGUGGGGAGCAAACAGGAUUAGAUACCCCAGUAC
This 449-nucleotide ribosomal RNA is filed under the name uncultured bacterium. RNAcentral describes it as "bacterial SSU rRNA". It matches the Rfam family "Bacterial small subunit ribosomal RNA", at positions 330 to 793 of the family's 1533-position model. The record is from RNAcentral.